This is an RNA transcript of Triticum aestivum (bread wheat), 3247 nucleotides long. It is a transcript of the gene named T-complex protein 1 subunit zeta 1, with no coding region annotated. NCBI's taxonomy places the organism in Eukaryota, Viridiplantae, Streptophyta, Magnoliopsida, Poales, Poaceae. The transcript has 3 exons. The record is from RefSeq and is a predicted model, not a curated record.
ACCUCCACCCCUUCCAUCCAUUGGUCAGCGCUCGCGCUCCACCUGUUUCCGCACAUCCCUAAAAAAAUCCCUGCUGGCACACAAAGCCUAUUCUCCCUACGUUUUGGCCUUUAUCCUAAUAAAACAACCUAAGCGAGCUGCAUCGGCCGCCGUCCCAUUGCCCUCGCCGCCGCCGUCCCUUGUUCCUUCACCAAGCCCGCGUCCCUUGCCACUUUCUCCACGCUUCAAAGACGCACACUGCAUCUUUUCCAUCCUCCUCGCGUCGGGGACACACACAUGGCGUCGUCGCCAUCCUCCUCGCGUCUGGGAAGGUGCCGUCGCCGCCGCUCCUACGCGCGACCUGAGAUGCCGAGGCCGUUGUUCUCCUCCGCACAGCCAGGGACGACGCACGCACCGACGCCCCGUCCUCAACUGCAUUAGCUCAGCGGUACGCCCCCUGUCCUCGCUCGUCUUGUUUGUUCCCCGAUGGCGCCCACUGGCGCACAGCAGCCGAUUGGUCGCAGCCCAUCGACCUACACAGCUCACAGCUUCCAGGCAGUGACUCAGCUCCAAAGGAAAGGAGCAACUCCUCUCGACCUCUCCAAAAUCCCGAGUCCCUGCUAGUAUUAUUUGAGAUAUUUGCCGGUGUAGUGAUGUAAGUACUAAGUACUGCCUGCGUAAGGGGAAAAUAACUUGCAAGAUGGUGCAGGUAAUUUCCUUUGAUUCUUUCACAUAUCCCUAAAUUUCACUUACAAGUUACAAAAUUUUCUAUUAAUCUAAUUACUUAUUUCUACAGCUUUUAUUGUAUCCAGUAAAGAAUUCUUGUUAACACUGGUUAGCAUGACAUCAAUCUGAGUAAAUUGUAUCGAGUGAAGCAUUGUUAACAUGAGAACAAUCUGACUGCGUGAAAUUUCCAAUUCAUAUCCACAGUGCCUCAAAAGAAACUGUAUCUAGUGAAAAAUUGUUGUUAGGAUGAGUGCAUAACAACUUUCCUUCAGCCUGGCCUGCCCUGCUAUUUUUUUUGUAGGUCCGCCACAGAAACACACUAAGGCUCCGUUCGGCUGCUCAGUAUUUUUUGAGUUUUAGGAAAAUACCAUUGUUUUUGUAGAAACCCCAGUUUUAAAUACUUUGACGUGUUUGGUUUCGACAAAUACUUUAGUUUUACAAACCAUGGUAUAUCUAAAACUAUGGUUUUUUUGCUGUAUCUAAAAAAGAGGUCUCAACCUCUUUUUGUAAACUGAGAAACACUCGCUCGAGUACAUCUUCUUCGGGUCCUCCUCACCCAUCUCUUCCGCAGCCAUGCAAUUAAGAUUACCACCUGGGAAGCUUGACUACUCUGCCGUUGAUUUCUUCAAUUGUUUACUAUUGUUCGGCCUGUACAUUAGAUAGUACUAGAGGUACGGUCCUAUCAGAUGAUGCGUUUACACAUACAAAAGAUUUAGCGAAUGCUUAGACCCUGGAGUAGAUCGAUUGAUACUGAGCAAAGUUAUACAUAGUAGUCUAAGCUAGCUAGCCGUUCGAUUCGAUGUGGCCAGAGAUACAAGAUUACUCAACAACAUAUCCUAGCAUCUAGAGGAUGUUCGCGUGCAUGACAAGGCUAUAGGCACGCAGCGGCCAUUAAUUAGCACACGCUGAUCACGUCGUUGUAUAACUCCUUUGUUGUAGGUUCAACUAGCUAUAUUUAGGAUUAUCCAUGCAACGAGUGGUCAAAACCAAGAAACCAAGAAAAACUGCACUUGCCAAACAUCUCUAUAGUUUUUCUAAAACAGAGAAAAGCUGCGGUUUUUAGAAACCGAAGUAUUCAUUGCCAACAUAUUGGAAUACCGAGGUUUUCAAUUACCAUGGUUUUGGAAAAACCGGGUUGCCAAACUAGGCCUAAAGUAUUUAAAACUAUAGUAUUUUUUAGAAACCACAGUAUUUUCCAAAUACUGAGAAAAUACUUCGCUGCCAAACGGGCCCACAGAUUUACUGUUUCACAUGCAUCACUAAAGGUUACAGUUGACACAUAAGUUUCUCAGUGAAAUAAAUGCAGGAUUCUUCUACUCAAACAUUGAACAAGAAGAAAAGAUGGUUUCUGCUGAGGGACGUCAAGUUGAUGAACAUGUCAAGAAGAUCAUUGAAUUGAAAUAUAAGGUUCUGCAAAUUUUAUUCAUAGAUCAGGAAAUUCUAAUAUGUGACAUGGUAAAUCUCAGGUAAUUAGGAUCUCUUGUGUGAUGUAUAUUAUGCAAAGAUUUUUGAGUUGUCGGCACUGAGGUUUCUCCUAAUACAUCAUGACACGCAUGACUAAUAAAUAAUCCCAAGAACGAGUAGUACGGGAAUAAUGUGACACAAAGCUAAUUAAUGCAGAGACCUCUCGAAAAUGGAAAUAUUCAACUCAGUAUAUUCGGUAUUAUUAGUUACCAACUUGUCAUUUAGUUGGUUGGUGAAUUCAUUUCAUUGUUUAUAUAAUAUAUUUUUUGGAUCUUUAGUAGUAUAUGCAAGCUGAUGGUUGUUCAUAAUGAACAACCACAUCUCAAAGGUGCUUGCUGUAUUAAUAUGCAGUUUCUUAUCUCACGAGCCAUGGACAUUCAGAAUAUGUGCAAGGCAAUUAAGGUAAAUAGAAGGCCCUCAGUUUACAAAGAAUUGGUCAAGAGUGAAGACUCAAAGUCUGUGUUUGUACUCCAUAGCAUGGCGAUGGCCCUUUUGCUAGUGUGUAUUAUUGUUAUUUUUUACCGAGUGAUGAUACUGACAUUGCAAGUAUGUGAAGUUUCCACAUUUGAAUUUUGGUCUUUUUUAAGAGAAAAUAGACUGGAACACUAAAAACAUAUAAUGUUAGUUCAUAUAGUUUUGAGUUGAUACAAGAUGUUAUUUAAUAAAUUCAUGUUCAUGUUUUUGUAUUCAGAUUAUUAAUUAUCCCCUUGUCUAUAUAAUAAAUCUAUGUCAUGAUAAAUCACAUUUGUAAGGUGCUCCUUUAAAUCGCACUUCUCUAUUAACCUGAUUUCUAUAAUGUAAGUUGCUCAUCUAAUACUAUUAACAUUGUUGUUGUUGCUGUAGAUCAUGAAGACAAAUUGACAAUGCAUGGCUCACAUGUUGAUUGCAAGGUUAAGAAUGGGCUACUACAAGAUAAUUAGAAUGUCAUUUUUAGGACCAAAGUUUCAGACAUCAUAGUUGAUUGCAAGGUCAAGAAUUGGGCUACAGAUAGAUAGUUUCACCUCUUGUAAUCUUUGGAUCACGUUCCUUGUAAUGCAACAUAGUCAAUUUAAUACAUGAGAAGUUUAUGUUUGUUAUA